Molecule: ribosomal RNA, 241 nt
Filed under: uncultured Staphylococcus sp.
Lineage: Bacteria; Bacillati; Bacillota; Bacilli; Caryophanales; Staphylococcaceae
Description: partial 16S ribosomal RNA
Rfam family: Bacterial small subunit ribosomal RNA
Source: RNAcentral
CGGACGGGUGAGUAACACGUGGAUAACCUACCUAUAAGACUGGGAUAACUUCGGGAAACCGGAGCUAAUACCGGAUAAUAUUUUGAACCGCAUGGUUCAAAAGUGAAAGACGGUCUUGCUGUCACUUAUAGAUGGAUCCGCGCUGCAUUAGCUAGUUGGUAAGGUAACGGCUUACCAAGGCAACGAUGCAUAGCCGACCUGCGAGGGUGAUCGGCCACACUGGAACUGAGACACGGUCCAG